UUUUAAACAAAAAAAUCAAACCCUGAACAAGUGAGGAGACUGGGCAAGUAGAACAGGCCAGUCAGCCCUCGUCAGAUAUACAGAGUGUCCGAAGCGCUGCCUUGGCUAAAAAACUGGGCUAUAGCAGAGGGUCAACUCCAGCCAGAUUGUUGAUGAAGAAGUCAUAUUCUAUGGAUGGAACCCUUUAUACACCCAGGCCACAAACCAAACCAAACCAUUCCGACUCAUUUUUGGGCGAAGACGACGAAAGUAACUUGGCGGAUUUUGAUGAAGACAUUUUUGAGAAUGAUUAUACUAAACCAGUUUAAAUAUUUUGACUCCACAAUAGUGCACAUAAUUAAAUGAAUAAUAUAGAAUAAAUAAAUGAAUGUUU
This is a long non-coding RNA of Eurytemora carolleeae, 373 nucleotides long. RefSeq lists it as uncharacterized. The transcript has 3 exons. The record is from RefSeq and is a predicted model, not a curated record. NCBI's taxonomy places the organism in Eukaryota, Metazoa, Arthropoda, Copepoda, Calanoida, Temoridae.